GUGGCUAGCUCAGUCGGUAGAACAUGAGACUCUUAAUCUCAGGGUUGUGGGUUUGAGUCCCACAUUGGGCCCA
This is a non-coding RNA of Pangasianodon gigas (Mekong giant catfish), 73 nucleotides long. The record is from the annotation of a GenBank genome assembly. Lineage: Eukaryota; Metazoa; Chordata; Actinopteri; Siluriformes; Pangasiidae.